GCCUACGGGGCGCAGCAGUGAGGAAUAUUGGUCAAUGGGAGAGAUCCUGAACCAGCCAAGCCGCGUGAGGGAAGACGGCCCUAUGGGUUGUAAACCUCUUUUGUCGGAGAACAAAACCCGGGACGUGUCCCGGACUGCGUGUAUCCGAAGAAAAAGCAUCGGCUAACUCCGUGCCAGCAGCCGCGGUAAUACGGAGGAUGCGAGCGUUAUCCGGAUUUAUUGGGUUUAAAGGGUGCGUAGGCGGUCCGUUAAGUCAGCGGUAAAAUUGCGGGGCUCAACCCCGUCGAUCCGUUGAAACUGGCAGA
This 305-nucleotide ribosomal RNA is filed under the name uncultured bacterium. RNAcentral's name for it is "bacterial SSU rRNA". It matches the Rfam family "Bacterial small subunit ribosomal RNA", at positions 337 to 640 of the family's 1533-position model. The record is from RNAcentral.